Molecule: ribosomal RNA, 292 nt
Filed under: uncultured bacterium
Lineage: Bacteria
Description: partial 16S ribosomal RNA
Rfam family: Bacterial small subunit ribosomal RNA
Source: RNAcentral
GGAUUAGAUACCCUGGUAGUCCACGCCGUAAACGGUGGGCACUAGGUGUGGGACUCAUUCCACGAGUUCCGUGCCGUAGCUAACGCAUUAAGUGCCCCGCCUGGGGAGUACGGCCGCAAGGCUAAAACUCAAAGGAAUUGACGGGGGCCCGCACAAGCGGCGGAGCAUGUGGAUUAAUUCGAUGCAACGCGAAGAACCUUACCUGGGUUUGACAUAUACCGGAAACAUCUGGAGACAGGUGCCCCGCAAGGUCGGUAUACAGGUGGUGCAUGGCUGUCGUCAGCUCGUGCCG